Molecule: ribosomal RNA, 252 nt
Filed under: uncultured bacterium
Lineage: Bacteria
Description: partial 16S ribosomal RNA
Rfam family: Bacterial small subunit ribosomal RNA
Source: RNAcentral
UACGUAGGGGCGAGCGUUGUCCGGAUUUAUUGGGCGUAAAGAGCGUGUAGGCGGCCAGGUAGGUCUGCUGUGAAAACUCGAGGCUCAACCUCGAGACGUCGGCGGAAACCAUCUGGCUAGAGUCCGGAAGAGGAGAGUGGAAUUCCUGGUGUAGCGGUGAAAUGCGCAGAUAUCAGGAGGAACACCAAUGGCGAAGGCAGAUCUCUGGGCCGUAACUGACGCUGAGGAGCGAAAGCGUGGGGAGCGAACAGG